Long non-coding RNA from Xyrauchen texanus (razorback sucker), 298 nucleotides. RefSeq lists it as uncharacterized. The transcript is spliced from 3 exons. NCBI's taxonomy places the organism in Eukaryota, Metazoa, Chordata, Actinopteri, Cypriniformes, Catostomidae. The record is from RefSeq and is a predicted model, not a curated record.
ACGACAUUAAGACAAAGCCAGAGAAGAGAAAGGACUUGGUGCUGACACUGGGCCUUGCUGGGGGCGUGAACCUCAAGGACACUGUGUGGAGGGUCAUGAAGAUGCUUAUUCAGAACGACUUGGCCUGCAAAAUGAAUUGGACAGGCCUCCAUGGCAAAACAUCAUUCCAGGGCCUAGAAGUCAAGAAUGUUGUUACAGAAGCCAUUCGGAGAAAUCCUGGAUGCAGAGAAUCCACGAACCAGGAGGUGGAGCAAUGGUUGAGGCGUUGGUUGUAUUUGGCUGGCGAUCGAGAGGGGGG